RNAcentral lists this ribosomal RNA (429 nucleotides) under Chloroflexota bacterium. RNAcentral's name for it is "Chloroflexi bacterium partial 16S ribosomal RNA". It matches the Rfam family "Bacterial small subunit ribosomal RNA", at positions 355 to 776 of the family's 1533-position model. The record is from RNAcentral. Lineage: Bacteria; Bacillati; Chloroflexota.
UGGGGAAUAUUGCACAAUGGUCGCAAGCCUGAUGCAGCCAUGCCGCGUGUGUGAAGAAGGCCUUCGGGAUGUAAAGCACUUUCAGCGGGGUGGAAGGCGAUAAGGUUAAUAACCUUGUCGAUUGACGUUACCCGCAGAAGAAGCACCGGCUAACUCCGUGCCAGCAGCCGCGGUAAUACGGAGGGUGCAAGCGUUAAUCGGAAUUACUGGGCGUAAAGCGCACGCAGGCGGUCUGUCAAGUCGGAUGUGAAAUCCCCGGGCUCAACCUGGGAACUGCAUUCGAAACUGGCAGGCUAGAGUCUUGUAGAGGGGGGUAGAAUUCCAGGUGUAGCGGUGAAAUGCGUAGAGAUCUGGAGGAAUACCGGUGGCGAAGGCGGCCCCCUGGAAAAAGACUGACGCUCAGGUGCGAAAGCGUGGGGAGCAAACAGG